UGCCGUAUCAUGCUUGUCUCUGUGAACAUGCGAAUGGCUCAGUAAAUCAAUUAUAGUUUAUUUGAUGGUAUCUUACUCCCUGGAUAACUGUGGUAAUUCUAGAGCUAAUACAUGCAUCAAAGCCCUGACUCUUGGAAGGGGUGUAUUUAUUAAAUAAAAAACCAACGCGGUUCCCCGCUCCUUUGGUGAUUCAUAAUAACUUCUCGAAUCGCAUGGCCUUGUGCCGGCGAUGCUUCAUUCAAAUAUCUGCCCCAUCAACUUUCUAUGGUGGGAAAGAAGCCUACCAUGGUUUCAACGGGUAAAGGGGAAAUAGUGUUCUUUUCCGGAGAGAGAGCCCGAGAAACCGCUAACCCCCUCCUAGGAAAAGCCCCCGCGCCCCUAUUAUCCCCUCCCCACCCCGGGGGGGGGAGUGGCAAAAAAUAAAAAAAAAAGGGCCCUUUGGGUCUUAUAAUUUUAAAAGAAUAACAAUUUAAUCCCUUAAAACAAGAAAAAUUAUAAAGUAAGUUUGGGGCCCCGACAAGCCCAAAAACGCGUAGAGCUGCGCCAUGCUAAGAACCACCACCCCUCUAAUGAAAAAAAAGAAUUCUACUACU
RNAcentral lists this ribosomal RNA (593 nucleotides) under Rhizoctonia solani. Its description in RNAcentral is "partial 18S ribosomal RNA". It matches the Rfam family "Eukaryotic small subunit ribosomal RNA", at positions 58 to 601 of the family's 1831-position model. Lineage: Eukaryota; Fungi; Basidiomycota; Agaricomycetes; Cantharellales; Ceratobasidiaceae. The record is from RNAcentral.